AAUGAAACUUGUUAAAAGAGGAACAUCUGAAUCUGUAUAAAAUACUCUGAACAAUAUAGACAAUUUGCAAUCUCUAAUACAGCAUAUAUCGUGUCUGUGUUAUAAAUUGACCGACCGGUGUGGGGGUUAAAAUAUCCAACUGUCCAAGGUCCAGCCUAGGCAACAGAACCAGAACCGAACCUAACAGAACUGGUACCAGGAAGCGGGGUACUGAUUGACCAGAUCCAACUCACCCCUUUAUACCUGAGAUGAGGUAUUGGUUAAGCAAUUGGCCGUGAGGAGAAAGACAGGCCCCAUUUACCAAGGUCCAUAUACGGUGGAAAAGGUCCCUUGAAGAUAAAGACCCCAGAAGCCCCGAUGGCUCCCCCCUUGGAGCGAGGGCUCAAGAACAAGGAGGACACAAAGCUAGAAGCCCCGAUGGCUCCCCUCUUGGAGCGAGGGCUCAAGAACAAGGAGGACGCAAAGCUAGAGACCCUGAUGGCUCCCUCCAUAGAGCAAGGGUCCGGGAAAACCAGCACUUAACUGCCAAUCAGGUGUACAAUAGAACGAUACAAGGAGGGAAAUAUUGUGGACUAUUGCUUAUACUGUUUGUGGUGACCGCUUUUGUGGUUUGCUACUUCACCCCAGGUUGAUACAUAAGAUAGGAAAAGGCCAAGACCCAAAAUUAGUCAUAGUAAGGAAAAGAUUCAUACCAUUUAGAUGGCGAACCAAAUUUGGUAUAGUGAGUGAUCCCAAGAAAGUAAACAUUCUUUGGGAUCAGAGGAGGGAUGUAAGGAAUGUGAAAUAAUGGAAUAUUAUAUG
Molecule: long non-coding RNA, 801 nt
Organism: Rana temporaria (common frog)
Lineage: Eukaryota; Metazoa; Chordata; Amphibia; Anura; Ranidae
Exons: 2
Source: RefSeq, a predicted model, not a curated record